UAUGCAAGUCGAACGGCAGCACGGACUUCGGUCUGGUGGCGAGUGGCGAACGGGUGAGUAAUGUAUCGGAACGUACCAUUCAGUGGGGGAUAACGUAGCGAAAGUUACGCUAAUACCGCAUAUUCUCUCCGGAGGAAAGCAGGGGACCGCAAGGCCUUGCGCUGAUUGAGCGGCCGAUAUCAGAUUAGCUAGUUGGUGGGGUAACGGCUCACCAAGGCGACGAUCUGUAGCGGGUCUGAGAGGAUGAUCCGCCACACUGGAACUGAGACACGGUCCAGACUCCUACGGGAGGCAGCAGUGGGGAAUUUUGGACAAUGGGCGCAAGCCUGAUCCAGCCAUGCCGCGUGAGUGAAGAAGGCCUUCGGGUUGUAAAGCUCUUUCGGCCGGGAAAAAAUCGCAGCGGCUAAUACCCUGUGUGGAUGAUGGUACCGGAAUAAGAAGCACCGGCUAACUACGUGCCAGCAGCCGCGGUAAUACGUAGGGUGCGAGCGUUAAUCGGAAUUACUGGGCGUAAAGCGUGCGCAGGCGGUUUUGUAAGACAGGCGUGAAAUCCCCGGGCUCAACCUGGGAACUGCGCUUGUGACUGCAAGGCUAGAGUAUGGCAGAGGGGGGUGGAAUUCCACGUGUAGCAGUGAAAUGCGUAGAGAUGUGGAGGAACACCGAUGGCGAAGGCAGCCCCCUGGGCCAAUACUGACGCUCAUGCACGAAAGCGUGGGUAGCAAACAGGAUUAGAUACCCUGGUAGUCCACGCCCUAAACGAUGUCAACUAGGUGUUGGGUGGGUAAAACCAUUUAGUACCGGAGCUAACGCGUGAAGUUGACCGCCUGGGGAGUACGCCGCAAGGUUAAAACUCAAAGGAAUUGACGGGGACCCGCACAAGCGGUGAUGAUGUGAUUAAUUCGAUGCAACGCGAAAAACCUUACCUACGCUU
Molecule: ribosomal RNA, 931 nt
Filed under: uncultured beta proteobacterium
Lineage: Bacteria; Pseudomonadati; Pseudomonadota; Betaproteobacteria
Description: bacterial SSU rRNA
Rfam family: Bacterial small subunit ribosomal RNA
Source: RNAcentral